UGGGGAAUAUUGGGCAAUGGGCGAAAGCCUGACCCAGCAACGCCGCGUGAAGGAAGAAGGUCUUCGGAUUGUAAACUUUUGUCUUAUGGGACGAUAAUGACGGUACCAUAGGAGGAAGCCACGACUAACUACGUGCCAGCAGUCGCGGUAAUACGUAGGUGGCGAGCGUUAUCCGGAAUUAUUGGGUGUAAAGGGUGCGUAGGCGGGACGUAAAGUCAGAUGUGAAAUGCGGAGGCUCAACCUCCGAACUGCAUUUGAAACUUACGUUCUUGAGUGGAGUAGAGGCAAGCGGAAUUCCCGGUGUAGCGGUGAAAUGCAUAGAUAUCGGGAGGAACACCAGUGGCGAAGGCGGCUUGCUGGGCUUUUACUGACGCUGAGGCACGAAAGUGUGGGGAGCAAACAGG
Molecule: ribosomal RNA, 404 nt
Filed under: uncultured bacterium
Lineage: Bacteria
Also listed under: 1 other name
Description: bacterial SSU rRNA
Rfam family: Bacterial small subunit ribosomal RNA
Source: RNAcentral